AUGUGGGGGAGACACCCAGAGCCCAAGUGCCUGAGACAGGACCCCAGUGGCUCCACCAUGGACUUGGUGCCAAGCUGCGUUUUCCUCCUGAUCAUUUCUCAAGGUGUCCAGUGUGAGGAGCAGCUGAUGGAGUCUGGGGGAGGCCUGGUGCAGCCUGGGGGGUCUCUGAGACUCUCCUGUGCAGCCUCUGGAUUCACCUUCAGUAGCUACGACAUGAACUGCGUCUGCCAGGCUCCAGGGAAGGGGCUGCAGUGGGUUUCUGCUAUUAGUAGCGGCGGUGGUAGCACAUCCUACGCUGACUCUGUGAAGGGCCGCUUCACCAUCUCCAGAGACAACGCCAAGAACUCGCUGUCUCUGCGAAUGAGCAGCCUGAGAGCCGGGGACUCUGCCUUGUAUUACUGUGUGAGAGACACAAAGAUCCCUUUGUGGGCAGUUAGCUGCUUGCCUCUCACUGACAUGGCUGCACAUGGAGAUGUAGGGUCGGACCCUGUGGCACUGCCCCUCAGAGAUCCUGGAAGUACCUACAUCUCCCUGAGCCCCAGAGGGAGCCUGGAAGCCCUGCUGGGUGCUGCUCCUCAUGGGUCUCAGAACCUGGUCCCAGGGGACGUGUUCCAACACCAGUCCCGCUUCCCCUGGGGAACCACCUGCAUCCUGAGAACCUGCUGA
Molecule: non-coding RNA, 666 nt
Organism: Myotis daubentonii (Daubenton's bat)
Lineage: Eukaryota; Metazoa; Chordata; Mammalia; Chiroptera; Vespertilionidae
Source: the annotation of a RefSeq genome assembly